ACAGCUCAGUCGGUAGAGCAUGAGACUCUUAACCUCUGGGCUGUGGGUUCGAACCCCACAUUGGGUG
Podarcis lilfordi (Lilford's wall lizard) is the source of this 67-nucleotide non-coding RNA. The record is from the annotation of a GenBank genome assembly. Lineage: Eukaryota; Metazoa; Chordata; Lepidosauria; Squamata; Lacertidae.